GGGGGGGGUCUUCGGAUUCCCCCUUUUCAAUCCACAAACCACACCACGUGCACCCGUGAGGAAGGGAGGGGGAGCCUUCGGGCUUCCUUUCCCCCCCUCUGUUCAUACGAAACCCUUCUGUCGUUCGAGCGUGUUUUUGCGAGAAAAAGUCGAAAACUUGACACAACUUUCAACAACGGAUCUCUUGGCUUUCGCAUCGAUGAAGAACGCCGCGAAAGCGCGAAACGUAAUGUGAAUCGCAGAAUUCAGUGAAUCAUUGAAUCUUUGAACGCACCUUGCGCUCCUCGGCGUUCCGAGGAGCAUGCCUGUUUGAGUGUCGUGAAGUUAUCUCGGAGCCCCGCCUUCCGUUUCGGUGGGUGGUGGCUUUCGGAUCUGGACGUCUGCCGACGGCGAGGGUCUCGACCCUCGCGUAGGCUCGUCUUCAAACGCAUUAGCGGAACAGCCUCCGCCCCCUUGCCAGACGUGAUAAAACCUUUUGCGUCGGAAGAGGGGGGGCGUUCGCCUUUCCGCUCGUCAGCCGUCUCCGUGACAAAGACCCCGACCUCUGACCUCAAAUCAGGUAGGACUACCCGCUGAACUUAAGCAUAUCAAUAAGCGGAGGA
RNAcentral lists this ribosomal RNA (602 nucleotides) under uncultured fungus. RNAcentral's name for it is "eukaryotic LSU rRNA". The stretch from base 165 to 319 matches the Rfam family "5.8S ribosomal RNA". Lineage: Eukaryota; Fungi. The record is from RNAcentral.